UACGUAGGGUGCAAGCGUUGUCCGGAAUUAUUGGGCGUAAAGAGCUCGUAGGCGGUCUGUCGCGUCGGCUGUGAAAAACUCGGGGGCUCAACCCCCGAGCCUGCAGUCGAUACGGGCAGACUAGAGUGCUGUAGGGGGAGACUGGAAUUCCUGGUGUAGCGGUGAAAAUGCGCAGAUAUCAGGAGGAACACCGGUGGCGAAGGCGG
Molecule: ribosomal RNA, 206 nt
Filed under: uncultured bacterium
Lineage: Bacteria
Description: partial 16S ribosomal RNA
Rfam family: Bacterial small subunit ribosomal RNA
Source: RNAcentral